This 2471-nucleotide long non-coding RNA is filed under the name Mus musculus (house mouse). Its description in RNAcentral is "long non-coding RNA chr11:48167934-48170405". The record is from RNAcentral. Lineage: Eukaryota; Metazoa; Chordata; Mammalia; Rodentia; Muridae.
AACUUGAGAAUGUUUCUGUGUUUUACAUAAUAUAUUUGUUGUAAUAUCUGAAGGGCCAGUGUCUAAAACUAUGCUCUUAAAUGGAGUUACUCCCUUUGAAAUGUUGUUACCAUUUUGUUGUGGGUUUUCCGGAUGCAAAUUCUGCUUCCUCAAGAGGGGUUACCCCUGAGGUGUAUCCUCAUAUACUCAGGUGAUCUCAUGUGAACCUUCUCCCCAUUUUAACUGGGGAGGCUAGAGCUUGUGACUGGGCAGUGUGGGGAAAGGUAGGACUGGAGGUUAGUCUUCCAAUAGGUAGAGAGAGAGAAGAGGAGGAGAGGGGAAGGAGAGAGGACUGAAGAAAAAGAGAAGGAAGCCAUGAUGGAGCAUAAUCCGAUGGCCAGGAAAAACUGCAAGUAGCAAAGGGUCUUAUAGCUGGGGAAUAAGUUAGCAUAGUAUUAGAUCUGCCCAAUAUAGGCAUAUAGUUUAUAGUUAUUAAAACUGGAUUAUGUGUUUAUUAUAUGGGCUUAUUGGGGUUGAAAUUCUAGCAACACCAUUUUGCUCCUUUUUUUAAAAGGUCUGGGGAGGGAAAGGGGCAUCAAAGAGUUGUCAGUGGGGAAAAUUGCCUGGAGCUGAGUCUUGUCUCAGCAUUUACUGUUUGUGUGGUUUGGAGUAAAGCCCAUUUGCCUUUGACCUUGAGGGUAUCCCUAAGUUUGGCACCAAUUUAAUGAUCCCAGCUUAUUUCCUAAUACUCAGGACACCUUUGUUUCUAGUACGGCAUGUCAUGUGGCCUCUGCUUAUUACCACCAAACACCUCUGAUCCUGCUGCUGAGCCAGGCAGAGAACUCUUUGCCCCACCUGUCCACAUCUGGCCUCCUUUCGUGCAAUCACUUCAAACUGUCCUCCUUUGUAAAGGAGGAGGCUCUCUCUUGGCUCUCAGGGCACAUAUAACUUAUCACUUCUAUGUUUUCAGAGCUUAGAAUAGGAGAGAUACUUUGAAUGUUAUCCAGUCCAUUCCCAGCCUCAUCCCACCACAUCCUUUUAUAUGUUUAGCUACUGUGAACACAUGACCUUGUAAUAGGGGCAGAAAUUAGCUUAUAUUUCUGAUUAUUGUCAGGUAUGAAGAGGAUGGUAGAAUAUACAAGUUAUGUAGUGGUACAGUUUGUAUAUGAAGUGUUCUUGAGCUUUGGGGUUUUAAAGCUCUGAGGUUGUCAUGUGCUGAGUAUCAGGAAAGUACUGGAUCUUGAAGACUCUGCCUGAAUUCGUACACUAAUGUACUGAACACUGAUGGGGGGAGCUUAGAUAGAGGAAGCAGGUCAUUGUGGUGCAUCCCAAAAGAACAUAUCCAAUCUCUCUUUAUUCUUCUCUCUUUCUGUUCCCUGAUGACUGUGUGGUGAGCAGCCUUUAGUCACUGUAUCAUCCCAAACUCUUAAAAUCAAUGGAGCCAGUGGAUCUGGGGCUGAGGGUGGGGCAAAUUUUCUCCUUUCCACUAAUGUUCUCACGGUUUGUUUCUUUUUGUCACGGUGAUGAAAAGUUCGCUCAUACACUUAAUUAUCAUCAUUUUAAAAGAUUAUACACACUGGCAGCCAAACUGAAUGCAAUCACAUCAAACCCACAAAUCUUACAUCAGCAAUUACCUGCUCAAAACCAAACAGCCAACCAACCAACCAAACAAACAAACAACCCAUUAUCUCCAGGUUUACUUUGCAUGGAGUUAGCAACUCUUACAACAAGUCCAUGAAACUGCCAGAACAGCAUCUUAUUUUAGUUAUAUCUUAUUAUUUAUAUUGCUUGUUUUACCUUGUUCUUAAAUAAUAAUGUUUCAUAAUUUUGACUUCAGAGGGGGGAAAAAUAACUAUAAAUGGGUAUUUAUGCCCACCAAGGCUACAGGUAUUAGCUUAGGUCUUCUUCCUUUUAUGGGAUUAAACCAUCUAGAUAGGAACAACUUAAGGGACCAGGGGUUUAUUUUGCCUCGCAGCUUAAGUGUAUGUCAUGUCCCAUUGCACCUUCAGUCAGGAGGCAGAGAAUGAGUGGCAUUUGUGCUCCACUUGCUUCCUUCUUUCUAUGCAGUACAGGACCCAAGCCCAGUGGAAGGUGGUACCCUCUGUUAGGAUGAGAUUUCCUACCUCAGUUACCCUAAUCAGGAUUUCUCCCAAGCAUGCCUAGCAGCUAACCUAACUGAAAUAACCCCUCACUGGUGCAACUGGACACUUGUCUCCUAGGUGACUCUAAGAGACACCUGUCAAUCUGUCAUCUUGUCGAUCAACACAAACCAUCACAAAGCAUCCAACAGAGGUCUUAGGUUAGGAGAGACUGUUGUGUGUUUAGCAUGUUGUCUCCCAUUCUGUAUACUUUCAACUCCAUUUCAAAUCCUUCUCUAAACAGCAAUUGAUCUAUUUGGGCUGGGUGAGAAAAUAGUCACCUGCCUCCGAUGUCUUGUAUCAUUCCACCAUUAUUUCAAAUGCACGUCAUCUUAUUUCCCAGAUUUAAAGUCC